RNAcentral lists this ribosomal RNA (996 nucleotides) under Triticum aestivum (bread wheat). RNAcentral describes it as "partial small subunit ribosomal RNA". The record is from RNAcentral. Lineage: Eukaryota; Viridiplantae; Streptophyta; Magnoliopsida; Poales; Poaceae.
AUGGAAGGCCCUACAGCGGGUGCGGACCCGUUCACGGGCUCUGGCGAUGCCGCUGUUGACAGUCUGGUGCUCGGCGCGGCAGCUAUGUCGGUCAGGGCUUCAAGCCAGGAAGGGAAGGGGGAAGGAGGUGCAGAUGAGCAAUCAAGUGGCAUGCCUUCCCUUUCUCAUGAAAGCCCCUUGGUGCUGCGGUCUGUGGCUGCGCAGGAAGAGGCAGGAGCGGCAGGGCGUGGAGAGGAAGGGGGGACGUCUUGCAUCGAGGUUCUGGGCGACGUGCAUGCCCCCUCCUCUGCAUGUACGCCCAUUGGUGCAUUUGCGGGCCCGGAGCUAGAGAGCAUGGACGAUGGAGCAUCUGCUGGCGCUGACCAAUCCUCAAGUCUGCUCGGUCAAGACGGUGAAGAUCUGACUGGGGGAGCAUAUGGGCCGCAUUCCCCUCGUGGUUGCCCGCAAGGGCCCAGGCCCAGCCCUGCUACCCCCGCUCCUCCCUCUUGCCCCGUUGGUUUUGUGGCUUUGGGGGACGACGUAGCUCUCCGUGAGCCAGGCCCAAAUGAUCAUCAGGAUUGCAAUGAGAUGGCCCUGCCGGAUGGGGGCGGGGGCGGUGGGGAUCUGGCUGAUCCAUUGAGCCGUUUCCUCAUCGUCUGCUCCUCCCCUGCCUCUGCUGCUCUACUACCCACGCCAAUCCCAGAUCCAGACAGGAGGGGUGCGCCAACAGAGAAAAUCACCAGGAGGAGCAGCGGCAGGCUGGCUGCCAAGCCGACGGCAACCUGGCCCACCAUGGAUAAGGUUCAACUCGUCCUGAUAAAGAAGGCCGGCAUUAUCACCGAAGAUGCACCGCCUCCUGAGGUCGCGCCGGCAGCUCUAGAGCGCUACAGAGCAAUCUUCAAGCAGCCUCUGCCGGACAACUUCAUUGAAGCAAUCGAAUCCCUGCUGGAGGUGACGAGCAAGAAGAAGAAAGGUGGGGGUGGAGGCCCGGGGCAGGUGCAGCCGAUCCCUGUCUGA